Molecule: ribosomal RNA, 253 nt
Filed under: uncultured bacterium
Lineage: Bacteria
Description: partial 16S ribosomal RNA
Rfam family: Bacterial small subunit ribosomal RNA
Source: RNAcentral
UACAGAGGUCUCAAGCGUUGUUCGGAUUCAUUGGGCGUAAAGGGUGAGUAGGUGGCGCCGUAAGUCGGGUGUGAAAUUUCGGAGCUUAACUCCGAAACUGCAUUCGAUACUGCGGUGCUUGAGGACUGGAGAGGAGACUGGAAUUCAUGGUGUAGCAGUGAAAUGCGUAGAGAUCAUGAGGAAGACCAGUGGCGAAGGCGGGUCUCUGGACAGUUCCUGACACUGAGACACGAAGGCCAGGGGAGCAAACGGG